AUUGAACGCUGGCGGAAUGCUUUACACAUGCAAGUCGAACGGCAGCACGGACUUCGGUCUGGUGGCGAGUGGCGAACGGGUGAGUAAUGUAUCGGAACGUGCCCAGUCGUGGGGGAUAACGUAGUGAAAAUUACGCUAAUACCGCAUACGAUCUAUGGAUGAAAGCGGGGGAUCGCAAGAACUCGCGCGAUUGGAGCGGCCGAUAGCAGAUUAGGUAGUUGGUGGGGUAAAGGCCCACCAAGCCAACGAUCUGUAGCUGGUCUGAGAGGACGACCAGCCACACUGGAACUGAGACACGGUCCAGACCCCUACGGGAGGCAGCAGUGGGGAAUUUUGGACAAUGGGCGAAAGCCUGAUCCAGCCAUUCCGCGUGCAGGAUGAAGGCCCUCGGGUUGUAAACUGCUUUUGUACAGAACGAAAAGGUUUCUACUAAUACUAGGAGCUCAUGACGGUACUGUAAGAAUAAGCACCGGCUAACUACGUGCCAGCAGCCGCGGUAA
RNAcentral lists this ribosomal RNA (500 nucleotides) under uncultured bacterium. RNAcentral describes it as "partial 16S ribosomal RNA". It matches the Rfam family "Bacterial small subunit ribosomal RNA", at positions 30 to 523 of the family's 1533-position model. The record is from RNAcentral.